Molecule: ribosomal RNA, 551 nt
Filed under: Pinacopus sp. ARC3472
Lineage: Eukaryota; Metazoa; Arthropoda; Insecta; Coleoptera; Curculionidae
Description: partial 16S ribosomal RNA
Rfam family: Bacterial large subunit ribosomal RNA
Source: RNAcentral
UUUAUUAAAAACAUGGCCUUUUGAUAAUAAUUUAAGGUYUAACCUGCCCAAUGAAGAUUUAAAUGGCCGCGGUAUUUUGACCGUGCAAAGGUAGCAUAAUCAUUAGUUUUUUAAUUGAAAGCUUGUAUGAAAGGUUUGAUGAAAAAAUAGCUGUCUCUAUUUAAAUUUGUUAGAAUUUUAUAUUUAAGUAAAAAAGCUUAAAUUUUGAUAGAAGACGAGAAGACCCUAUAGAGUUUUAUAUUUAUUUAUAUAUUUGUAUAUUAAGAAUUUAGGUUGAUUUAUGUAGAGUAAAUAUUUAGUUGGGGUGAUUGAAAAAUUAGAUAAACUUUUUUUUUAUAAAAUCAUUUAUAUAUGAAUAUUUGAUCCUUUUAUGAAGAUUAUAAGAUAAAAUUACCUUAGGGAUAACAGCGUAAUUUUUUUUUAGAGUUCAAAUUAAAAAAAAAGAUUGCGACCUCGAUGUUGGAUUAAAAUUUGAUUUUGGUGAAGAAGCUAAAAAUCUAGGUCUGUUCGACCUUUAAAAUUUUACAUGAUCUGAGUUUAAACCGGCGUAA